UUGAUCUAAAUUCUCUAAGUUGGGCUUUUUUAUAACUUCAUACCUGAGAAUUAUAAGAUCAAGUUCAAGCAAGGACCCUUUGUAAGCUUCCUUCAUUCUUUUAUCGCUUUCUAGCUUAAAAGUCACAGUGUUUGACUUUCGGUUUUGACCAUUAAAUGGUCAACGCAAAGUUCGUUUGAACUUUGUAACGUGAUUGUAAUCACGAUGGUUAUAAUCCUUAGCGACUAUACCUACUGAUUACCACGUUAACUAGACGUUGUGAUGAGUCAAAGUUUCGGUCAAAAUGCGUUUUAGCACGCAUUUUGCCACAUAACUACUUUUAGGUAUCAAAACACUUUGUUUUGAUACCAAAUCAGUUUUCUAAGUAGGUUAAACAUGUUUUGACAUGUUUAACUCAUCACUAUUAGUUUAGUGCUUGUUUAGGGUCGUAAGUUAAGAGUUCUAAACAACCGCUUAGACUUUUGAACCCGACCCGUUUGGUCGAUCAUUAGGAUCCGACCAAGCUUGCUUAGUGAUCAUAGUUGCAUAGGGAAUAACCUCUGAGGUUAUACCUUAUGAUCACUUAGGAUUGGUUAGUCAUUUGUUAGUUAGCUUAUAUGCCCAUAGGGAAUGACCAAAAUGCCCUCUUGAAGCGUAAAUCCAUAUUUUUGCAUAUGUGAUCAACUUUUUGACAUAUAAUCUGAUUUAGUAACAUGUUUAGGCAUAAUUGGGCAUGUAAGACUUGACAUAGCACAUAGUUAACCAUCCGACCAUAGUUUUACGCAAACGACGCAUUAUAGUAGCUUAUACUACCAUAACGGGUUGAAACGGGUCAAAAGCACUUAGGUAGACUUCCAAAUCAGAAUGUUAGCUCUAUUAAAUCAUACCAUAUGAGUUCAAAUACUUAUUUGAUUUAUAGAACACCAUUCUAUCCUAUCUCCCGAUUUAGGAUUCGAUUGUAUGACAUAGUAAUUCCAUAAUAGGUGCCACUUGAUUCCUUGAUUUCCCGAACUUUGUUAGGACACUAAAUCAAGGAUUCUUGCAACCUCAAGUGAGUACAUAGUCCCCUCUUUUACUGUUUUCAAUUGUUUUGGGGUGAAACAUAUGUGCCUAUUUGUUAUUUUCAUGAUUUGUAACUAUAUGAUUACACAUGCUUAGUACUUGUUCUUUUGACAAAUUAAACAAUUACCUAUGGUUUAAACACUGAUUUUCAAAACUUGUAAAACAAAUUGUUGGAUCGUACUCUCUUUAUACAUUCACCAAGCCGAUUGGUAGUAUGAUAUAGCGCUAUAGGACUAGACACCCCAUUCCUGUUGUACGGAAUGUCAGAAACCAAAUUUUAACCAAAUAGAAAUUUCCUUUGUGGUAUUUCUAUAGUCUCCAAAGUGUAGUUUGAUACACUAAGAUUUGAAUGAAUACCAAAUCACAGUGUCUUUUGUAUAUUUUGAUAUACUACAAAAGUACAGUUUGAUGUGCUCUCAAAUGUGAUCUACCAAAGUAUAUUUUGAUAUACUAUGUACAAAAUCCAACAUAUGUUUUAACAUGCUACUUUGAUAUAAACCAAAGUAUAGUUUGAUAUGCUACUGUUUACUAAAGUAUAUUUUGAUGUACUACCAAAGCAUAGUUUGAUAUGCUAUUUUCAAACCAAAGCAUAGUUUGAUAUGCUACUGUUUACUAAAGUAUAUUUUGAUGUACUACCAAAGCAUAGUUUGAUAUGCUAUUUUCAAACCAAAGCAUAGUUGAUAUGCUAUUUUCAAACAAAAGUAUAAGUUGAUAUACUACCAAUAUUUUUAUUCUUAAACCAAAGUAUACUUGAGAUAUACUAUCAAAUAUAUUAUUUCAUUAACCAAAGUAUAUUUUGAUAUACUACCUAUUAACUAUUUCAAAACUAAAGUAUAUUUUGAUAUACUACUUAUCCGGUCUUUUCUAAACCAAAGUAUAUUUUAUAUACUACAAACCUUUUAUCAAAUAAUACAGUUUAGAAACAAAACUUUUCACAAGGAUUCAUGGCUAUUUUUGGCAAAACAUAAAACCUUUUCUUAUGUUAACUAAAGCCAUGAAUCUAAAUCAACAAAACCUAUGUACUGCUAUGUGAUGAUUGUUGAUGCAUGCUACACAUAGGAUGGACUUGUGCCUUAGCGACUUUAAAACUGAGAAACAAUUAUUUGCAUUUAUCUGAAUUGUAAUAGAACAUU
Molecule: long non-coding RNA, 2174 nt
Filed under: Helianthus annuus (common sunflower)
Lineage: Eukaryota; Viridiplantae; Streptophyta; Magnoliopsida; Asterales; Asteraceae
Description: hypothetical non coding rna
Source: RNAcentral